RNAcentral lists this ribosomal RNA (370 nucleotides) under uncultured organism. RNAcentral describes it as "bacterial SSU rRNA". It matches the Rfam family "Bacterial small subunit ribosomal RNA", at positions 526 to 896 of the family's 1533-position model. The record is from RNAcentral.
CGGAGGAUCCAAGCGUUAUCCGGGAUUUAUUGGGUUUAAAGGGUGCGUAGGUGGCUUUGUAAGUCAGUGGUGAAAAGUUCUCAGCUUAACUGGAAAAUUGCCAUUGAUACUGCAGGGCUUGAGUUCAGAUGAGGUAGGCGGAAUGUGUCAUGUAGCUGUGAAAUGCAUAGAUAUGACACAGAACACCGAUUGCGAAGGCAGCUUACUAAACUGAAACUGACACUGAGGCACGAAAGCGUGGGGAUCAAACAGGAUUAGAUACCCUGGUAGUCCACGCCCUAAACGAUGAUCACUCGAUGUGUGCGAUAUACAGUACGCGUCCAAGCGAAAGCGUUAAGUGAUCCACCUGGGGAGUACGCCGGCAACGGUG